AGUGAACGCUGGCGGUAGGCCUAACACAUGCAAGUCGAACGGCAGCACAGUAAGAGCUUGCUCUUACGGGUGGCGAGUGGCGGACGGGUGAGGAAUACAUCGGAAUCUACUUUUUCGUGGGGGAUAACGUAGGGAAACUUACGCUAAUACCUCAUACGACCUACGGGUGAAAGCAGGUGAUCUUCGGACCUUGCGCGAUUGAAUGAGCCGAUGUCGGAUUAGCUAGUUGGCGGGGUAAAGGCCCACCAAGGCGACGAUCCGUAGCUGGUCUGAGAGGAUGAUCAGCCACACUGGAACUGAGACACGGUCCAGACUCCUACGGGAGGCAGCAGUGGGGAAUAUUGGACAAAGGGCGCAAGCCUGAUCCAGCCAUACCGCGUGGGUGAAGAAGGACUUCGGGUUGUAAAGCCCUUUUGUUGGGAAAGAAAAGCAGCAGGUUAAUACCCCGCUGUUCUGACGGUACCCAAAGAAUAAGCACCGGCUAACUUCGUG
This 492-nucleotide ribosomal RNA is filed under the name uncultured bacterium. Its description in RNAcentral is "partial 16S ribosomal RNA". It matches the Rfam family "Bacterial small subunit ribosomal RNA", at positions 29 to 507 of the family's 1533-position model. The record is from RNAcentral.